This 301-nucleotide ribosomal RNA is filed under the name uncultured bacterium. RNAcentral describes it as "partial 16S ribosomal RNA". It matches the Rfam family "Bacterial small subunit ribosomal RNA", at positions 509 to 807 of the family's 1533-position model. The record is from RNAcentral.
CAGUCGCCACGGUAAUACGAAGGGUGCAAGCGUUAAUCGGAAUUACUGGGCGUAAAGCGUGCGUAGGCGGUGAGUUAAGUCUGCUGUGAAAUCCCCGGGCUCAACCUGGGAAUGGCAGUGGAUACUGGCAAGCUAGAGUGUGUCAGAGGAUGGUGGAAUUCCCGGUGUAGCGGUGAAAUGCGUAGAGAUCGGGAGGAACAUCAGUGGCGAAGGCGGCCAUCUGGGACAACACUGACGCUGAGGCACGAAAGCGUGGGGAGCAAACAGGAUUAGAUACCCCAGUAGUCCCUGUCUCUUAUAC